Monodelphis domestica (gray short-tailed opossum) is the source of this 2460-nucleotide long non-coding RNA. RefSeq lists it as uncharacterized. The record is from RefSeq and is a predicted model, not a curated record. Lineage: Eukaryota; Metazoa; Chordata; Mammalia; Didelphimorphia; Didelphidae.
UGAAUCCUGGUCUUCUUGACUUUAAGGCUAGCUCAGUAUCCAUUAUGAAAUGCUGUCUUAGUUGAAUAUUUCUACUUCUUUCAUCAUGGCAUAUGAGAAAGACUUUGGAGUUAAAAGAUCUUGGUUUGAAUCCCAACUCUGGCAGCUUACUCCCUGGAGAACCUUGAGUAUGUAACUUGGAUCCCAGUCUCCUGAGAUGUAAAAUCAGGGGGCUGGACUAGAAGGCCUCCAGGGUCCUUUAGCUUUCUGAUCUUGUGAAUUCAUCAUUCUAUGGCGUGGUCUCCAGGCCUUCUCCACCACAGAUAUCUGGGUCACCUUCUUCCAGACAGACUCCAACUUGUCAAUGUCCUUUCUGAAAUAUGGCACCUCGUCUUGAACCCAGGACUCUAGCUGUGCUAUAACCAGAGCCUGGGACAGCAAGUCUCCUCUCACCCCAUUCGGUGAGCAAUGAAAUACAAGUCGAAUCAAAUGACAUUUAUUAAAUGUUUAUCGUGUGCCAGGGAUGUUCUGGGGCUAUAAAUAUGAUUAAAAGGACAACCCCUGCCUUCAAGGAGCUUACACUUUAAUGGAGAAAGAUAGACCCUAAAAGGGAGCUGAAGAGAAGCUGGGGGAGGCAUGGGGGAGGAGGAAUAGAAGCAAAAUCUAAAGAAUGAAAGAUGGUUGUUCUGGGCCCUUCCUCAAAAGAGUUUCUAGGAGGAACUCAUCAAUGGGAGAAGGUGCUGGAAGCAGAAAGGAGCAGACAGCAGAAGCAAGGAGUCAAAGUCCAUAGAAUACAAUUCAGCAAACAGACAUUAAGGGACUGCCCUAUGUCAGCCACUGUUCUAGGCACUAAGGAUACAAAGACUAAUACAAAACUCAAGGCUCUUACUGUCUUAAGUGGGAACGGUGCAUGAAAAGUCAUACACUGAUAAAUAAAUAUAAACGGUAUGCAAAAUAAAUUAGAAGGAAGAAUUCUUAAGACUUUCUGGAAUCACAAUGGCCUAAUGUAGGAAUUAGAAAACUUGAGAAGAGCUUUGAAGGGAAUUGAGGAAUCCCACAGGCAGUAUGGACAUUCCAAUCCUAGGAAAUAGCUUGAAUAAAAGGAUAGAAGUAAGGGCAGCUGGAUGGCUCAGUGGAUGGAUAGCCAGGCCCAGAGAUAGGAGUCUUGGGUUCAAAACUGGCCUUGGACACUUCCUAGCUGUGCCACUUGACCCCCAUUGCCCCUUUCCGUUCUUCUGCCUUAGAACCAAUACACAGUAUUGAUUCUAAGAUGGAAGGUAAGGUUUUAAAAAAAUAAAAGCAUGGAGGUAGGAAAUUAUAUUCCAUGGACUCAGAAAAGCAAGUAGACCAGUUUGGCCAAAAAUCAUAGUGUGUGAGGGGGCGUAAUAUGAAAUUUGCCUGGUAGGAUACAUUGGAGGCAGAUUUUAGAGGACAAUGGAAAGAAGGCUUGCUGCUUUUAAAUUUAGAUGGCCUGGGUUCACAUCCUAGCUUUGACACUUACUAUCUGUGUGGCCUUAGACAAGUCCCAUCUCUGUGAGCCUCAGUAUUCCCAUAAGCCAACCGAGGGAGUUAGACUAAGGUCUAAGCUCUAAAUCAUUAAUGCUGUGGUCUUAAAUGCCAGAUGAAGGGGUUAACAGUUUAUCCAAGAGGCAGUAGAGAGCCACUGAAAAUUCUUGAGCAGGGUUCCUGCUUUUGCUAGACUUCUCAGAUUGCCAAUUAACAACCAGUGAUGAUGCCCUGGAGCUGAAAGUAUUACUGCAGUUUUCCACAGGGGCCUCUUUUUCUGGGAGAGCGACUAGUGUCCUAGGAGUAUCCAACUUCUGAAUAAAGAUGCUUGACAUGGUGGGAUCCAGCAGCAGCCCCUAUGGCUCUUGUGGUUCCCUGAGUCAGCUGUGGCGACAUUUCUCAUUACCUCUCAUUUCCCAUCUUUCAGCCUGUUUUCCAUCCACCUGACUGUUGAAAUUGACUUUGAUGAGGACUAAUUUUACCAGUUUGAGUUUUCUGUGACUCUUCUGCCUCUGAUGCCUUGCUGAAGCCGCCGUGACAAAUAUCACUGGCAAUUUCUUCAUCUUCUCAUUCUUAAAAGCUUUCCAGGCAUGAUUUGGUCAUUCCCACACAAUGCUUACCACCCCCCUCGACUCUGAGCCCAUCGACCCAAUUCUUCCAUCACAAUGUGUGACUGUUCAUGCUGCUCUCAUCUCCUUGACUUGGGCCAAUUUCAGCUCUUAGCAUUGGGUCAGCUAUUGUGUGACCCUCUAGGCUGAGCAUCAACUGCCAGGAUUGUUUUUUGCUUGUAUGAAAGGUACCUAGGACAGUGCUUUCCUCAGCCAGAUACCAUGCCUGAUGACCACAUGAUGGCCUGGCUUUGGCAGCUUCUACACAACCACCUGGCCAUCUCCCAGACCCCGCCUUUCAUCCCCUCCAGAGCCUCCAACAGGCUGCUGAGCACACAUCAGUACUAAUUAAAGGUGCGGCCACUAA